Molecule: ribosomal RNA, 505 nt
Filed under: uncultured bacterium
Lineage: Bacteria
Description: partial 16S ribosomal RNA
Rfam family: Bacterial small subunit ribosomal RNA
Source: RNAcentral
AUUGAACGCUGGCGGCACGCCUAACACAUGCAAGUCGAGCGGUAACAUGCUUAGUAGCAAUACUAAGUGAUGACGAGCGGCGGACGGGUGAGGAACACGUAGGAACCUGCCCAAAAGUGGGGGAUAACUAAGGGAAACUUUAGCUAAUACCGCAUAAUUCUCUGAGGAGAAAAGUUGCCCGUAAGGGUAGCGCUUUUGGAGGGGCCUGCGUCCGAUUAGUUAGUUGGUGAGGUAAUGGCUCACCAAGACUGUGAUCGGUAACUGGUCUGAGAGGACGACCAGUCACACUGGGACUGAGACACGGCCCAGACUCCUACGGGAGGCAGCAGUGGGGAAUCUUGGACAAUGGGGGCAACCCUGAUCCAGCGAUGCCGCGUGGGUGAAGAAGGCCUUCGGGUUGUAAAGCCCUUUAGGCUGGGAAGAAGAGUGUGGGAUGAAUAAUCCUGUACUUUGACGGUACCAGCAGAAUAAGCACCGGCAAACUCUGUGCCAGCAGCCGCUGUAA